CUUCAAGAGACGCGGUCGGAAAGCUCCGACUGGACCGCGCACCAACCCCAUGUUCCUGGGUGGUUCGGAUGACGAAGCGGCCUCCACCCCGGCGCAUGCGCCGGACCGGUGCGGGCAAGAGCACUCC
Molecule: non-coding RNA, 127 nt
Filed under: Arthrobacter sp.
Lineage: Bacteria; Bacillati; Actinomycetota; Actinomycetes; Micrococcales; Micrococcaceae
Description: SAM-IV sequence
Rfam family: SAM (S-adenosyl methionine) riboswitch aptamer
About the family: SAM-IV is a mRNA element that regulates gene expression via direct sensing of S-adenosylmethionine (SAM or AdoMet). SAM-IV riboswitches share conserved nucleotide positions with the previously described SAM-I riboswitches sequence analysis and molecular recognition experiments suggest that SAM-I and SAM-IV riboswitches share similar ligand binding sites, but have different scaffolds.
Source: RNAcentral